GGAGGGUUGGCCGAGUGGUUGAAGGCGGCAGUCUCGAAAACUGUUUUAGCGGUAUUCCCGCUAACGAGGGUUCGAAUCCCUCAUCCUCCGCCA
This 93-nucleotide transfer RNA is filed under the name Eggerthellaceae bacterium. RNAcentral's name for it is "tRNA-Ser". It matches the Rfam family "tRNA". Rfam says of the family: Transfer RNA (tRNA) molecules are approximately 80 nucleotides in length. The record is from RNAcentral. RNAcentral also lists the same sequence under 2 other names. Lineage: Bacteria; Bacillati; Actinomycetota; Coriobacteriia; Eggerthellales; Eggerthellaceae.